GGCGAGAUAGCUCAGGUGGUAGAGCAGCGGACUGAAAAUCCGUGUGUCCCUGGUUCGACUCCAGGUCUCGCCACCA
Molecule: transfer RNA, 76 nt
Filed under: Pseudomonadota bacterium
Lineage: Bacteria; Pseudomonadati; Pseudomonadota
Also listed under: 1 other name
Description: tRNA-Phe
Rfam family: tRNA
About the family: Transfer RNA (tRNA) molecules are approximately 80 nucleotides in length. Their secondary structure includes four short double-helical elements and three loops (D, anti-codon, and T loops). Further hydrogen bonds mediate the characteristic L-shaped molecular structure. tRNAs have two regions of fundamental functional importance: the anti-codon, which is responsible for specific mRNA codon recognition, and the 3' end, to which the tRNAs corresponding amino acid is attached (by aminoacyl-tRNA synthetases). tRNAs cope with the degeneracy of the genetic code in two manners: having more than one tRNA (with a specific anti-codon) for a particular amino acid; and 'wobble' base-pairing, i.e. permitting non-standard base-pairing at the 3rd anti-codon position.
Source: RNAcentral